ACGAACGCUGGCGGCGUGCUUAACACAUGCAAGUCGAACGGAAAGGCCCUGCUUUUGUGGGGUGCUCGAGUGGCGAACGAGUGAGUAACACGUGAGUAACCUGCCCUUGACUUUGGGAUAACUUCAGGAAACUGGGGCUAAUACCGGAUAGGAGCUCCUGCUGCAUGGUGGGGGUUGGAAAGUUUCGGCGGUUGGGGAUGGACUCGCGGCUUAUCAGCUUGUUGGUGGGGUAGUGGCUUACCAAGGCUUUGACGGGUAGCCGGCCUGAGAGGGUGACCGGCCACAUUGGGACUGAGAUACGGCCCAGACUCCUACGGGAGGCAGCAGUGGGGAAUAUUGCACAAUGGGCGGGAGCCUGAUGCAGCAACGCCGCGUGCGGGAUGACGGCCUUCGGGUUGUAAACCGCUUUCGCCUGUGACGAAGCGUGAGUGACGGUAAUGGGUAAAGAAGCACCGGCUAACUACGUG
Molecule: ribosomal RNA, 467 nt
Filed under: uncultured bacterium
Lineage: Bacteria
Description: partial 16S ribosomal RNA
Rfam family: Bacterial small subunit ribosomal RNA
Source: RNAcentral